Molecule: long non-coding RNA, 455 nt
Filed under: Carica papaya (papaya)
Lineage: Eukaryota; Viridiplantae; Streptophyta; Magnoliopsida; Brassicales; Caricaceae
Description: long non-coding RNA (CPAP_LNC012609)
Source: RNAcentral
AUGCAGUCCACUGGUUUUCAUGCAACCACCACAGAGGCGGCUGGCAAUGUCAGUGGCCAACAAAAGUUUCAAAAGAGUGCAACCCAUCAAACUGUGGUGCUAACUUGGGCAAGUGAGUGUUCUUCAUUUUCUUCUUUUGGUUUGCCAGGAUAUGCUGCAGAUAUUCCGUCAUCCCACCUGCAGCUUCCUGGACAGAUGAAAUCAUAUCUUCUGUUAAAAUUUUUAAUUAAACCAGGAAUAGAAAGAAAUACCAGCAUAGGCGUGCUGGAAAAUGCUUCAUCAUGAUUUGAAGAUAAUCUAAUUACCUCGGUUAUGUUGUGGUUUCUGUCAAAGAAAUAAAUCCCAAUUGCAGCAACUAGAAGGUAGUCGUAGCCAUAUGAGCCGCACCUUGGAUAGCUCAAUGAUUGAUCUUUAAAAGGUUCCAACAGACAAGAUGAAGACAGUAAAAGCUAAGC